RNAcentral lists this ribosomal RNA (506 nucleotides) under uncultured bacterium. Its description in RNAcentral is "partial 16S ribosomal RNA". It matches the Rfam family "Bacterial small subunit ribosomal RNA", at positions 30 to 523 of the family's 1533-position model. The record is from RNAcentral.
AUUGAACGCUGGCGGCAGGCCUAACACAUGCAAGUCGGACGGUAGCACAGAGGAGCUUGCUCCUCGGGUGACGAGUGGCGGACGGGUGAGUAAUGUCUGGGGAUCUGCCCGAUAGAGGGGGAUAACCACUGGAAACGGUGGCUAAUACCGCAUAACGUCGCAAGACCAAAGAGGGGGACCUUCGGGCCUCUCACCAUCGGAUGUUCCCAGAUGGGAUUAGCUAGUAGGUGGGGUAAUGGCUCACCUAGGCGACGAUCCCUAGCUGGUCUGAGAGGAUGACCAGCCACACUGGAACUGAGACACGGUCCAGACUCCUACGGGAGGCAGCAGUGGGGAAUAUUGCACAAUGGGCGCAAGCCUGAUGCAGCCAUGCCGCGUGUAUGAAGAAGGCCUUCGGGUUGUAAAGUACUUUCAGCGGGGAGGAAGGCGGUGAAGUUAAUAACUUCACCGAUUGACGUUACCCGCAGAAGAAGCACCGGCUAACUCCGUGCCAGCAGCCGCCGUAA